ACGGCGAGUGAAGCGGCAAUAGCUCAAAUUUGAAAUCUGGCUUUUUUAAAGUCCGAGUUGUAAUUUGUAGAGGAUGCUUCGGCUUACGCCCCGGCCUAAGUUCCUUGGAACAGGACGUCACAGAGGGUGAGAAUCCCGUUUGUGGCCGGCGGCUUCCGCUAUGUGAAGCUCCUUCGACGAGUCGAGUUGUUUGGGAAUGCAGCUCUAAAUGGGAGGUAAAUUUCUUCUAAAGCUAAAUAUUGGCCAGAGACCGAUAGCGCACAAGUAGAGUGAUCGAAAGAUGAAAAGCACUUUGGAAAGAGAGUUAAAAAGUACGUGAAAUUGUUGAAAGGGAAGCGCUUGCGACUAGACUUGCCUACAGUUGCUCCGCCGGUCCUUCGACCGGUGUAUUCUUCUGUGGUCAGGCCAGCAUCAGUUCGGGCGGUUGGAUAAAGGCCUUGGGAAUGUGACUCUCUUCGGGGAGUGUUAUAGCCCUCGGUACAAUACAGCCUGCCUGGACUGAGGACCGCGCUUCGGCUAGGAUGCUGGCGUAAUGGUCGUAAGCGGCCCGUCUUG
Molecule: ribosomal RNA, 555 nt
Filed under: Helicoma conicodentatum
Lineage: Eukaryota; Fungi; Ascomycota; Dothideomycetes; Tubeufiales; Tubeufiaceae
Description: eukaryotic LSU rRNA
Rfam family: Eukaryotic large subunit ribosomal RNA
Source: RNAcentral